This 253-nucleotide ribosomal RNA is filed under the name uncultured bacterium. RNAcentral's name for it is "partial 16S ribosomal RNA". It matches the Rfam family "Bacterial small subunit ribosomal RNA", at positions 524 to 776 of the family's 1533-position model. The record is from RNAcentral.
UACGUAGGGUGCGAGCGUUAAUGGGAAUUACUGGGCGUAAAGCGCGCGUAGGCGGCUUUGCAAGUCGGGUGUGAAAUCCCCAGGCUUAACCUGGGAACUGCAUUCGAGACUGCAUUGCUAGAGUAUGGGAGAGGGAAGUGGAAUUUCCGGUGUAGCGGUGAAAUGCGUAGAUAUCGGAAGGAACAUCAGUGGCGAAAGCGACUUCCUGGACCAAUACUGACGCUCAUGUGCGAAAGCGUGGGGAGCAAACAGG